Triticum aestivum (bread wheat) is the source of this 2725-nucleotide RNA transcript. It is a transcript of the gene named E3 ubiquitin-protein ligase DIS1-like, with no coding region annotated. The transcript is spliced from 9 exons. Lineage: Eukaryota; Viridiplantae; Streptophyta; Magnoliopsida; Poales; Poaceae. The record is from RefSeq and is a predicted model, not a curated record.
UUCGUCUUCCUCUCCUCGCACACGCAACCUUUGCCUCCACUCCCUCGCCUCUUCCCCUUCUUCUCCUCGACAUCUCCACGAGUGGGGGAAUAACGAACUCGAGCUUGGCGACAGGGAUUCGAGCGCCAGCACUCCAUCUCCGGCGGAGGGGUUGCGCGCGGGUGGCGGCGAUUUCGAUCUGUGUGUGCCUCGUUGCUGGAGGCGGCCGCCCGAUCCAGCAACUGGUGAAGCAACUCCCGACCAGCGACCAUCCCUCCUCGCCCGCGUCUCUGCCCCGCACUCGUUUCGCCAGCAACCUCGACUAGAUCGGCAUCUGGUGCAGGAGGCUCGGGGUGGUUGUGGGCCUCGUGGCGGCGGCCUCCUCAGCGGCGUCGCCGGACAACCUCCACGCGCGGAGGAGGCAUCUCCACGGGUUCCCUGAGCCCAACCAUGGAGGAUGGGACGAGAAUGUUUGUGGCCAGCUAGUGGAUGCGAGUCGGAGCAGCGAGACUCCCGCCUAUGCCUCGCGCGGCUCGGAGAGACGCUGAGCUCCAAUGACCCAUGGACGCGCCGGCCAGUGCGGGUGGCCCGCUCGAUGCUUUCAGCCAGAGAUUCACAGGAAGCUCGCGACGUUGCUACCCUCCAUCUCCCUCACACACGACUUACGCCGUCGCCAGGAUCCCCAGUUUCUUCCUGUACUAGUGCUGCUAGCUCGUUGGCGACGGUUAUGACGCCAUAUGUGGCUUCACUCGGCCCCUCGUCCCCGGCAGCAGCCUUCUUGACGGAUUAAAUCAUGUUAUCUUGCUAUUUGCUUCCAAGCCUAAAUAUUUCUCAUCCAUACAUGAUUUUAUCUAUAAGUUUGGUCGCGACAUCGAUUGCCUAUCUUGACAACAUUGGUGCUGAAGUUAUCGAGCCUCCAAAGAAUGGGAUAUUCAAAUGUCACAGAACUCGUCGGUGAUGUUAUCGAGCAUUCAGGGAAACCAAAUGUCAUAGUUUCUACAAAUGUGCAUGAGAUAUUGGAAUGCCCUGUGUGUUUGGUUCCCAUGUAUCCUCCAAUUCAUCGGUGCUCCAAUGGUCAAACCAUUUGUUCUGAAUGCAAGCCAAGGGUUCAUAAUGGCCGCCCAACUUGCAGGAGUGAAUUGGGUAACAUAAGAUGCCCUGCUUUGGAGAAGGUUGGCGCCUCUCUAGAGUUUAUGUCCAAGUUCCAGAACUUUGGAUGCUUGCGAAUGUAUCCUUAUUAUUGCAAGUUAAAACAUGAAUCAGAGUGCCAAUACAGACCCUAUACUGGCCCAUAUGCAGGUUUUAGGUUUUGUUGAUUUAUGUGAUGGAAUCUUGAUAUGUAGCAUGACUUCCGUCCUGGACAGUUGCCGGGAAUGCAUCGAGAAAAUGCAACAUGAAUUGAUGUUUGAAGUUACAGCCUUACAGGAGCAUCAACACAAAUUUGCAACGACGAAGUUUAUACCAUGCUUGUGUAGUCAGUCUGAAGCAUUUGCCUUUGGAAUUAAAGAAGAUCAGAGUAUGACACUGACCUGAGAUCAUACGAAGCGGUGAGCUAAUUAUGUUGUACUGUGCUUCAUGCUUUUCUUUCAUAGUCUGCGUCAUAAAAUUUUCCCUAUAGAUUUCAGUGCUAGCAAAUAUGCUAAAGACAUACAGAGAAGGCAAUCAGUGCAGUGGAUUCCAAUAUUGAUGCGAGAAAAACGCCUUUGGGUUGAAGCCCACUUACUGAUAUUCUCAUGGUCUCUCUCUGUGUGUGUAGCUAUUCCUAUUUGUGAUUAUCAUCUUGUAGGAUGUUAACCAGUACCUUACCUUUGACUUCCAUUCAAAGUUGAAGCGAUUAUUACUUAUCUAUUUAUCUGUUUCAAUGAAUAAGCCCACUUACUAAUAUUCUCAAGGUCUUUUAACAAAUAUAUAUACCAUCGGCUUGACGGCGAGGAGGGAAGCCCCGCAGAUCGAGGAGGACGGCGCGACGACUGUGCUGUAGGUCAAGAGCAUGGUCAUGUCAUGGUACCGCAUAUCGGUGGUGGUCCGCUUGCCUGCUAUGGCGUCCAACACGACUACACCCUUUUACUUGGCCUGCUAUUUGAUUGGGAGGGUGCUCUUUUGCUUUAAAGACAUGAUUGGUCGAUGUAUUUGGUUUUAUGAUGGCCAGGUUGAGCAAAAUCACAUGUUUUUUUUUUCAAGUUUGAGAAGAAAAAGACAACGGAACAGUCUGAUAAAGUAGAUCUAUGCUAGCAACUAGCAUCAUCAUUCUUUGUGCUGGAUUGGUCAAACGUUGGACAUUUGAAGAGAAGGAACUUCGUGUGAGAUUAAUAUCUUUCUGAUCAGUAGCAUCAUCCGUGACAAGGGUUUAUAAUGAAUGGCCAUUAGAAGAGAGGAAAGGACGGACAGAAGGUUUGCUACACAAUUGAAUAUGUUCCAUUAUUGAUUGAUUUUCAACAUUGGUGCAUCUGGGUCCCACGCUGUGGCGUGGACACGGUGGCCCUGCCGAAGCGGGUGUGGUCGAGCCACUGGAUGAUGUAGCCGGUGGCUCCAGUCACGCACAUCGGCUGGUCCUGCUCCGGCGAGCAGCCACCACCCUUCCUGUCCUGAUAUCGCCUUGCAUCUCCUUUAGGUGAGGGUGUUGGACGCGGAGCAGGGAGUAAAAAAUUGUGGAGCUGUCAGUCCGUAAACGCUCUUGCAAGAGUUUUACUUAUCCACACCCGAAAAGCAGCUAAGCUGCAGUUUGUUAGUGAUGUGCUACAGUUUC